RNAcentral lists this long non-coding RNA (1140 nucleotides) under Helianthus annuus (common sunflower). Its description in RNAcentral is "hypothetical non coding rna". The record is from RNAcentral. Lineage: Eukaryota; Viridiplantae; Streptophyta; Magnoliopsida; Asterales; Asteraceae.
UAUAUAAGAAAAAACUCAUCUCUCUCUCUCUACCUGCUCUACCUGGUCUACCCGUCUACCAGCAACCACUAGCCACCCUACCAGCCACCACACCAGAUGACCAACACCACCACCUCCUCUUCUUCGUCAAUUUGGAAAAUAAUGGUCUGGAAACCAAUUUCUCCUUUAAUUAACCAGAUCUAUAAAGGUUAUUCAAGUCCAAAAGACUUGUUACGAUUUGAAUAGAGGAUUCAAGCCCUAAGAUCCUCAUUUCAUUCUACCUCGUCUGGAAGCGAUGGUGGUGGAUCUGAACCAGAGCAACCUCCACAUACACUCUCUCAAUUUGUAGGCUAAAACUGAUAGAUCUGAAUAGAGGAUUCAAGUCCAAUUUGUAAGCGAUGGUGGUGGAUCUGAACCAGAGCAACGUCUGGAAGCGAUGGUGGUGGAUCUGAACCAGAUUUGAACCAGCAGUGAUGGUAGUUUAAGUUCCGGUACCGACGAAGUUUGGCUUGGAUCUCAGAAAUGAUGGAACACGACGAAACUAAUGAUGAUUCCAGUGUUUUUUGGGGCUAGGGUGGUGAUUCUUGGCGGUGGUGAUGAUUGCCGGCGGCGGCACUUGCAAGAGAAGAGUUGGCGGUGGUGAUUGCCAACGAGGCACUUGCAGAAGAAGAGGAUGGUAAACUCCAAUCUUUGCUUUCGAUUUCAAAGAUCUCAUGGAUAUUCAUAAUGCAAAUAGGGGGGGGGGGGGGGGGGGGGGAUGAAGAAGAUUUUACGAGUGUUAGGUUAUUAUUCCGUUUUGGAGUAUCUUGAAAAAACAGGAACCAGUUAGUUUUCAAUCACAUCAAGAGAAGUCCGCAUGAUAUUUUGAUUGAGAUUAAAUUGAAAGGUUUUGGUUCGUAUAAAAAUAGAUCAACAUGUAUAGAUAUUACUUGGAAUGACUAGUGUAAAUAUCCUAUGUAUAUAUUGUAAUUUGACCCUUUGCCCGUUUAAGUCGGAGGCUGUGUGUUGUAUUAGUCUUUUGCCUGUUUGGGUCGGAUGUAUGUUUUAAUGAAGUGCUAUUAAAAAAAGAUAAAGUGGGUGAAACCCUAGUUGAUGAAUUAUCACUGUUUGAUUUUAAUAAUUAUGGAAAUUAAAAAAAUAUAUGGGAUGGAAAAAGACUAA